RNAcentral lists this long non-coding RNA (359 nucleotides) under Coffea arabica (coffee). Its description in RNAcentral is "long non-coding RNA (CARA_LNC004068)". Lineage: Eukaryota; Viridiplantae; Streptophyta; Magnoliopsida; Gentianales; Rubiaceae. The record is from RNAcentral.
UUUUCCAGAGACUUUGCCUAGAAGAACUGGGCCACCCUCACCACCUUCUGCACCUGAUACUGCUGCUUCUUUAACAGAAAGUGGGGUUGGUAGAACUGGGCCACCUCCCCCUCCUCCUCCUCCAGCAACACCCUCAUCUUCUAGAGAUGGAAUGCCUCAAGUUCCAUCCCUCCAACUCCACCUCCUCCUCCAGCCCCUCCCUUGAAGGAGAUUUCAACUCCUAUAGGUGGCCCACCUCCACCACCACCUCCUCCAGCAAUGCCCUCAUCUUCUAGAGAUGGAAUGCCUCAAGUUCCAUCCCCUCCAACUCCACCUCCUCCUCCUCCAGUCCCUCCCUUGAAGGAGAUUUCAACUCCUAU